CUCUCAGAUAGCCAAAAUAUAGAUAAUUUUCAGCGAGGGAUCAAUAAGCCUAAAUACAUUAAUUGAUACCAUUUUCAUUUCAUUACAUUUUGGCCCAAGAAUGUAUGGAAUCGUAUCAUUCUCCUUUAGUGCACAAGCUGCUAGCGAGCGAGCGCAUGAACUUGAACAAUCGCCUAGUUAAGCGAGCCGAGAACCGAGAGGAGAGAAUCAAGUGAAAUAGUUGGGCAGCUCUUAAACUACGAUGACGCACGCCGCCGAACAAUGCCGCGGUCAUUAAAAUAGCAUUCCUUCACGAACAUUAUUAUACUCACUGUGCUGCGUACACCACACCACACCGCGCUAAACAGGCUUAGUGGGGCAAAAUAAAAAAUAAAAGAAAAUGUGAAAAGAGAAGAGUAAGAAAGGACGAUAAGAGCCAUAAAAUACAACGAGUCCAUUGUAAAGGAGUCCUGUCCCACACUUCUGUAGGCGCAACAUACUAUCUUCGCUGAACAAAAAGGAUUGAAUACUU
Molecule: unclassified non-coding RNA, 511 nt
Filed under: Melitaea cinxia (Glanville fritillary)
Lineage: Eukaryota; Metazoa; Arthropoda; Insecta; Lepidoptera; Nymphalidae
Description: misc RNA ENSMCXG00005016626.1
Source: RNAcentral